AUACGGAGGAUCCGAGCGUUAUCCGGAUUUAUUGGGUUUAAAGGGUGCGCAGGCGGCCAUUUAAGUCAGCGGUUAAAUCGUGGGGCUCAACCCCAUUCUGCCGUUGAUACUGGGUGGCUUGAUUGCGGUCGAGGUUGGCGGAAUUCGUUGUGUAGCGGUGAAAUGCAUAGAUAUGACGAAGAACACCGAUUGCGUAGGCGUCGUACCAGACCGAAAAUGACGCUCAUGCACGAAAGGGCGGGGAUCGAACAGGAUUAGAUUCCCUGGUAGUCCACGCCGUAAACGAUGAAUACUAGGUGUUGGGGAGCAAGGCUCCGCAGUGCCGCAGCCAACGCAAUAAGUAUUCCCCCGGGGGAGUACGUUCGCAAGAAUGAAACUCAAAGGAAUUGACGGGG
This 395-nucleotide ribosomal RNA is filed under the name uncultured bacterium. RNAcentral's name for it is "partial 16S ribosomal RNA". It matches the Rfam family "Bacterial small subunit ribosomal RNA", at positions 523 to 918 of the family's 1533-position model. The record is from RNAcentral.